This 72-nucleotide transfer RNA is filed under the name Camelus bactrianus (Bactrian camel). It matches the Rfam family "tRNA". Rfam says of the family: Transfer RNA (tRNA) molecules are approximately 80 nucleotides in length. Their secondary structure includes four short double-helical elements and three loops (D, anti-codon, and T loops). The record is from Rfam by way of RNAcentral. RNAcentral also lists the same sequence under 1 other name. Lineage: Eukaryota; Metazoa; Chordata; Mammalia; Artiodactyla; Camelidae.
GAGGGUACAGCUCAGGGGUAGAGUGCGUGCUUAGCAUGCACGAGGUCCUUGGUUCAAUCCCUAGUACCUCCA